AUUGAACGCUGGCGGCAUGCCUUACACAUGCAAGUCGAACGGCAGCACGGGAGCAAUCCUGGUGGCGAGUGGCGAACGGGUGAGUAAUAUAUCGGAACGUGCCCAGUCGUGGGGGAUAACGCAGCGAAAGUUGUGCUAAUACCGCAUACGAUCUAUGGAUGAAAGCGGGGGAGUCGCAAGACCUCGCGCGAUUGGAGCGGCCGAUAUCAGAUUAGGUUGUUGGUGAGGUAAAAGCUCACCAAGCCUGCGAUCUGUAGCUGGUCUGAGAGGACGACCAGCCACACUGGAACUGAGACACGGUCCAGACUCCUACGGGAGGCAGCAGUGGGGAAUUUUGGACAAUGGACGAAAGUCUGAUCCAGCAAUGCCGCGUGCAGGACGAAGGCCUUCGGUUGUAAACUGCUUUUGUACUAGAACGAAAAGUACUUUAAUAACACUAGAGGCGUCAUGACGGUACUGUAAGAAUAAGCACCGGCUAACUACG
Molecule: ribosomal RNA, 484 nt
Filed under: uncultured bacterium
Lineage: Bacteria
Description: bacterial SSU rRNA
Rfam family: Bacterial small subunit ribosomal RNA
Source: RNAcentral